GAAGCUGGAUUCGCUAGUAAUCGCGCAUCAGCCACGGCGCGGUGAAUACGUUCCCGGGCCUUGUACACACCGCCCGUCAAGCCAUGGAAGCCGGGAGUGCCUGAAGUACGCGACCGCAAGGAGCGUCCUAAGGUAAAACCGGUGACUGGGGCUAAGUCGUAACAAGGUAGC
This 171-nucleotide ribosomal RNA is filed under the name uncultured bacterium. RNAcentral's name for it is "partial 16S ribosomal RNA". It matches the Rfam family "Bacterial small subunit ribosomal RNA", at positions 1322 to 1500 of the family's 1533-position model. The record is from RNAcentral.